CAGUAGCCCGGUAAUACGUAGGUCCCGAGCGUUGUCCGGAUUUAUUGGGCGUAAAGCGAGCGCAGGCGGUUAGAUAAGUCUGAAGUUAAAGGCUGUGGCUUAACCAUAGUUCGCUUUGGAAACUGUCAAACUUGAGUGCAGAAGGGGAGAGUGGAAUUCCAUGUGUAGCGGUGAAAUGCGUAGAUAUAUGGAGGAACACCGGUGGCGAAAGCGGCUCUCUGGUCUGUAACUGACGCUGAGGCUCGAAAGCGUGGGGAGCGAACAGGAUUAGAGACCCGAGUAGUCCCUGUCUCUUAUACAC
RNAcentral lists this ribosomal RNA (301 nucleotides) under uncultured bacterium. RNAcentral describes it as "partial 16S ribosomal RNA". It matches the Rfam family "Bacterial small subunit ribosomal RNA", at positions 509 to 809 of the family's 1533-position model. The record is from RNAcentral.